GUUGGAAUGGGGCAAGCCUGAUGCAGCCAUGCCGCGUGUGUGAAGAUGGUCUUCGGAUUGUAAAGCACUAUAAGUUGGGAGGAAGGGCAUUAACCUAAUACAUUAGUGUCUUGACGUUACGGACAGAAUAAGCACCGGCUAACUCUGUGCCAGCAGCCGCGGUAAUACAGAGGGUGCAAGCGUUAAUCGGAAUUACUGGGCGUAAAGAGCGCGUAGGUGGUUUGUUAAGUUGAAGGUGAAAUCCACGGGCUCAACCUGGGAACUGGAUCCAAAACUGGCAAGCUAGAGUAUGGUAGAGGGUAGUGGAAUUUCCUGUGUAGCGGUGAAAUGCGUAGAUAUAGGAAGGAACACCAGUGGCGAAGGCGACUACCUGGACUGAUACUGACACUGAGGUGCGAAAGGGUGGGGAGCAAACAGGAUUAGAUACCCUGGGUAGUCACA
RNAcentral lists this ribosomal RNA (441 nucleotides) under Pseudomonas putida. RNAcentral describes it as "bacterial SSU rRNA". It matches the Rfam family "Bacterial small subunit ribosomal RNA", at positions 359 to 797 of the family's 1533-position model. Lineage: Bacteria; Pseudomonadati; Pseudomonadota; Gammaproteobacteria; Pseudomonadales; Pseudomonadaceae. The record is from RNAcentral.